Oryctolagus cuniculus (rabbit) is the source of this 4702-nucleotide non-coding RNA. NCBI's taxonomy places the organism in Eukaryota, Metazoa, Chordata, Mammalia, Lagomorpha, Leporidae. The record is from RefSeq and is a predicted model, not a curated record.
CAGUGGUGGGCCAAGUGGAAGCCAGGAGCCAGGAGCUUCAUCUGGGUCUCCCAAUUAGGUGGCAGGAGAUGCCAGCAUUGCAGACAAUGGCUUUAGCACUAUGCCACACCAGCAUCCAAACCUAGAAUGUCCUUUUUUAAAAGUUGAAUAAUAUUCCUUUGUAUAUAUCAUGGUUCAUUAUUAAGGUAUAAUGUUUCUAUGAAAUAGGGGAAAAUAUGUAUGCAGUGAAGGACAGCUAAAAUCAACAAGAAAUUAGUAUAUUUAUGACCAUCACCAAAAUACAAAGUUAUCUCUUACUUGCAAGUUACAUUGUUAACAGUCUUUCAGAAAUACAUUAAAGAUCAGUGGUAAAGAGAUCUACUAGGUUACAUGAGAUAAUUAAAAUGUUUUGCAGAAUGUUAACAAACAGAACUGACUAUAUGAUCUACAGGGGAAACAUCCAGCACCAGCUAUUUUUAUAUUCCACUUUUUCUUCACUGGGCUGAGGGCCAAUAGUUUGAACCCAUCAAGAAGCAGCACAUCCUAUAAUAGCAUUCAACCAAGAAACAGGAGCAGAUAGAAAACACAGCCUCCUUCCUCCUCAACUCGACUGAGUCUCUAAUGACUUGUAUCCAAUUUGCACAUAUGCUUUGUCAUCAAGCUGUAUGAGUAAGCUUUUUCACUUUUAAACUCGUGUGACAGGUAAUGGCACUUUAUGGAUGGAGAACAGUAUUGCACAGUCCAUUUAUGAUUCCCACAGCAUGUUUUUUCCUCUUUUUCUUCUAUACAAAUUAAUAAGAUGCUGUUAAUAGUUCACUACUAGUAGUGUAUUAUUGUGUUUUUUUAACUUUUGGGAAUAACUCAAACAAUAGUGUUCUCAAACAUUUAGACUUUGUCAUUAAGGAUGUUGGUCCUAUGUUGGAAUCUUAUUUUGGUAAGUGUGACAAGAGGAGUUUAUAUGAGAGUCUAGCAGAGGAGAUAGCUCUUCCACAAAGUCAAAGGAACCAAGUCUCUCUUUGGGUAGGGCUACGAUCUAUCCAACGUGUGCCAAAACUCUCUCAGAGAAGGAAUCAGAAAAUAUAUUCAAGAGUAGCCACUUGACCUAGAAAUUAAGAUAUCUGUUCCCCACAUGGGAAUACCUGGGUUGCACAUCUGUCUUCAGCUCCUGACUCCAGCUUUCUGCUAAGGCACACACUCUGAAGAUGAAGACUCAAGAACUUGGGUUUCUGUCACCCAGCAGAACACCUGAACUGAGUUCCUGGCUCCUGGCUUUAGCCCCCAGCAGUAGAAAGCAUUUAAAGAGUUAAACAAUGGAUUGGAGCUCACUGUCUAUUAAUCUCUGACUCUCUGUCUCUCUCUUUCUCUCUUGUUCUAUCUCCCUCUCCUGCUUUCUCUUUGUGUCUUUCUGCACCUCAAGAAAGUGUUUAUUUUUAUUUAUAUAAAUAAAACAGAUUUCAUAUCAGAUAUCUAACUUAGAAGCAACAAACUGAGGACACAGAAGGUAAAAAGUGUUUACCCCAGUGGCAGAAUCUGGAUAGACACAGAAGCCUUUGAUGUGUAGUCUAGUUCUCUUUCCCCCUGGGAAAUUAUUAAUCUUCUUAUGAUUUCUAGUUUAUAAUCGCAUAAAAUCUAGUAAGUCACAUUGCUCAGAAAUAUUAUCAUUUGGAACGGUCAUCAAGUAAUGAACCUUUUCAUAUGAAUGAUUACUAAGAAUGUAUCAGUAAAUUAAUUCUAAUGACACUGAAAAGGCAGAAAGUAUUUGCAGUAAUAAAGUUAGCAAUAAGGAGAUAAUAUAAUUAGCCAUAGUCAUGAAUAAUAUCUUUCUAUAUGCCAGAUAUAAUGUUAGUUACCUUUACCUGAGAUAUCUUUUUUAAUCUUCAUCACAACCCGAAGAAGUUGGUGGUAUUACUGGAUGGGAACACUACAUUCAGUUGAAAAUUUGCUGCAGAAAAAAAGUGUGUGGUUGGAACCUUGCUUUCAGAGGAUGAACCUGUCAGCUUUAUGUAAUUUAUAUUACUAGGGGGGAAACCAUGGAUGAGAAACUUUGAUUCAAUAAUUGAGAUGAGAGAAAUAAGAGAGGACUUUAUUUAGAUACAUUGAGCAACAGACUAACACUGGGAAACAAAUUCUUCAAGUACUUGGAAAUGUAGGAUAAAUACUCAGAAAAUGUAUGGGCCCAAGCAGAGUCAGGAAGCCACUUGCUUCAAUGGUGGAACCUAUGAAGUUUCAAGAAUAUGAAGUCAUGAGCAAAACAAUGAGCUCAGAAUUUUAGAAUGAGAUGAGGAAGAACAGGGCCAGCAGGAUAAUCCAGGAACACAAGGUCAUGGAAGAUGGCUUUGAGAAGGAGGUUGUGGACAACUGUGACAAAUGCUUCAGAAAGGCUAAGAUGGAACUUACAGAGCCUCACUCAAGAGAAUAGUUACAAGCCAUAGGGUCAAUAAUAAACUCCACGUGGAGCAAAAGAGCCUUGGCAGCCACCUCUGUUGCAGAAAUGUGAAUCACAAAAUCCCCGUCACAGGUGAUUGAAGUUUGAGAUUAUCAACGUGUCAGCAUUUCCAGGAUUGUAAUUUCUAUGCAAUUCCUGAUCCUAGUGUGUUCUCAGACAAAAUUGAGCACUACACCACGUGUGCAAGAGACUCACAAGAGAAGGUUAUGCACCCUUCAACUGAGAGCAGACAAUAAGGUGUACAGAUUCCAAGGGUAUAAACCGAAACCAGAAGACUGGUUAAGAGAUGACAGAACAAAUGAACCAGCCUAAAACAUCUCAGUCACAGAGCAAGACAACUUGAUACCAGUUUCCAGGGAAUUUUCUGUUUCUAAGAUGUGCAGUGUGGACUCAGCUAAGAACACUCCCUGAAGCCACAGAAAAGUGUAUAUCAGUUGUGCUCAGCUACUCUUCAGAGGUAUGUAUGUCACAAUGACCUUAGAAACACAAAAGACUGAACAGUCUGCUCUCUCACCACAUUCCUGUUGAACACCUGGUACCUGAGCAAGACUCCCACUUUGGCAUGUGUCCCAACUGCGGCUAGCCAUGGUUUCCCACAUGGGCUGAGCCACCAACUUCCCCAGAGGAGUCUUCAACUCCCAGGAAACUUGAUGCUACAUUUGGACCCAGAACCAAAUAAGUAAGAUGGAGGUGAGGGGUAGCAUUCUGUGGAACACACUUUGGAAUGUGCUCUUUCUUUGAUAUACAUGUUAGUAUUUCAUUCAAAAAUAUUAAGAUAUUAUCAUUUAGGUAUUUUUAUUAUGGUUACAAGCAGAAAAAAUAAAAAACAUUUUUAAAAAAUUUAUGAAUUGUGUGUUCUGUUGGAUUCUUCAGAACUAUCCAAAAAGAAAUCCCAUUUUAAGGAACAAAUGCUAGAUAGAAUUAAACCACAGAAACAUCUAAUCAGUGAUGAAAGGGUGAAUUUAAUAUAUAAGAAGGCAAAUGUGAAAGGGUACCUCCAAAAAUGAAGGGAAUGAAUCAGAGAAUGGAAGCGCUUUCUCUCUCUUUCUCACACACUCUCUCCCUUUCUUCCACUCUCUCUCCCCCUCCCCACCUCUUUCUCUCUCUCUCUCUCUCUGUCUCAAAAAAUAAAUAUAUACACACACAUACAUUUAUAUAUAUAUAACUUGCUAUAACAUCUAUGUACGUAGAUAGAUAUCUGCCUUGCUCUCUAAAAUGUAUAAAAAUCAGUUCUUAUUUUUAUAUUUAUGUAUUUUCAACUUUCUACAACAGUGUCUGAUAUGUUAUAUCUGAAAUAUGUAAACAUUACUUCAUUAAACAACAUUAAAUUUGAGAAACAUAUAAGCUGAAAGUCUACAAUCAAUGUAACCAGACUUUCAGGAUUAUAAAAGGUCCUCCAACAAAUCCAUAAUAAACACAUUGAACUGGCAAAUGAAUUUAUGGAUAAUCUAAAUGCUUGUAAAUAAAACCAGUUUAAAAUUAACUUUAUUCAGUAAGUACUACUCAAAGUGCAAAUGCAAGUAUAAAUAAGAGGUUAUAUAUAUAUAUACAUAUAUAUAUAGGCAUAUAAAAAUAUCUUCCAGGUUAACAACAAAGAUAUUUUUAAAAAAUUAGUAGCCAAUAUUUUAGAGUGGGGGGAUGGAAAGUUUUAUAUAUCUACUGGUAAGAGAGUAAACAGUAAUUAGAACAUAAGGAUAAAUAUUCUUGUGUUAGGCAUUUAGCAUAUUCUUCUCAUUUAUCCUCCUGUAUCCCUUCUGCACUAAAGCAAGCUAGUCAGUAGGUUUCCCAGACCCCUUGCCAGUUGAUUUCAGGUUGGAUUUUGCCAUGGCAUGUGGCAGCCACAAAUGUGUGCUUAGAUUUCUCAGAAGAUCUCCCUGUGAAGAAUAAAGUUGACUGAAGGCCUCCAGUUGUCCUUCUGUUGGAUCCAUUAGGUUCUCACCAAGCCACACCCUCUAGACUAUUAUCAGCCAAUGACAGAAAGACAAAUUGCCCAUUAUGGAACUUUUUUUUUCCUUCACAUUAAGGGAUUCCCUGUAAUGACAACCUUCACUUAGGAAUUCUGAGUUGGCCUAGGCAAGGCUUUCCCAAAGCUAUGCUGAAAUGUGAGGCUCCUCCCACUGGAUCUCCAUCCCUCCCUUCUCCUCUUUCACACGGGUCAGAGCCUGUGUAAGGUCUGAAGGCUCACCUCCCACUACUCUUGCACUCUCUCCCUUUGUAUUUCCAAGGUGUUUCCCUAAGAAAACUUCUCACAUGUUGAAUUCUGUCUUCAAGUCUGUU